CAGGCCUAACACAUGCAAGUCGAACGCUCGUAGCAAUACGGGAGUGGCAGACGGGUGAGUAACGCGUGGGAAUUGACCCAAUGGUACGGAAUAACUCAGGGAAACUUGAGCUAAUACCGUAUGUGCCCGAAAGGGGAAAGAUUUAGCGCCAUUGGAUGAGCCCGCGUCGGAUUAGCGAGUUGGUGGGGUAAUGGCCCACCAAGGCGACGAUCCGGAGCUGGGAUGAGAGGAUGAGCAGCCACACUGGGACUGAGACACGGCCCAGACGCUGACGGGAGGCAGCAUUGGGGAAGAUGGGACAAUGGGCGCAAGCCUGGACCAGCCAUGCCGCGGGAGUGAUGAAGGCCCGAGGGUUGGAAAGCGAUUGAGACGGGGACGAGAAUGACGGAACCCGGAGAAGAAGCCCCGGCGAACGGAGUGCCAGCAGCCGCG
This 432-nucleotide ribosomal RNA is filed under the name uncultured bacterium. RNAcentral's name for it is "bacterial SSU rRNA". It matches the Rfam family "Bacterial small subunit ribosomal RNA", at positions 43 to 519 of the family's 1533-position model. The record is from RNAcentral.